Molecule: long non-coding RNA, 265 nt
Filed under: Elaeis guineensis (African oil palm)
Lineage: Eukaryota; Viridiplantae; Streptophyta; Magnoliopsida; Arecales; Arecaceae
Description: long non-coding RNA (EGUI_LNC045917)
Source: RNAcentral
GUUAGAUGUUCUAACUUUGCUAAUCUGGGUUUUGCUGAUGAUAUUGUGAGCCGCACAUGCAUCCGACCUCUAGGAGUCAUCCACACGAGCCCACGAAUUACGAUCAGAAAUCUUGGUCCAGGAAAUCAACACAGUAUGCUAGUACUGUGCUGAUCCUUCUUCGAUGGUCGAUCAGAUGCCUCCUUCUUCUUGAUUUGGAUUCUUCCAAAGAUGAGAAGUAGGAGAAGGAGUUUUAGAUAUGAAACACUCUCAAAAAACUCACAGA